RNAcentral lists this ribosomal RNA (272 nucleotides) under uncultured bacterium. RNAcentral describes it as "partial 16S ribosomal RNA". It matches the Rfam family "Bacterial small subunit ribosomal RNA", at positions 524 to 794 of the family's 1533-position model. The record is from RNAcentral.
UACGGAGGGGGCUAGCGUUGUUCGGAAUUACUGGGCGUAAAGCGCACGUAGGCGGACUUUUAAGUCAGAUGUGAAAUCCCCGGGGCUCAACCUCGGAACUGCAUUUGAAACUGGAAGUCUGGAGUUCAGGAGAGGUUAGCGGAAUACCGAGUGUAGAGGUGAAAUUCGUAGAUAUUCGGUGGAACACCAGUGGCGAAGGCGGCUAACUGGACUGAUACUGACGCUGAGGUGCGAAAGUGUGGGGAGCAAACAGGAUUAGAUACCCCCGUAGU